GUGGCACAGGCAUAUAAUCCCAGCUACUUGGGAGGCUGAGGCAGGAGAAUGGCGUGAACCCAGGAGGCGGAGCUUGCAGU
This 80-nucleotide non-coding RNA is filed under the name Ctenophora environmental sample. The record is from RNAcentral. Lineage: Eukaryota; Metazoa; Ctenophora.